CCAGGAGGGGCUGGGCACACACAAAGGCCUCAGCCCCCCUCCCCACCCUGCUGGCAGCUGCCUCUUUGUCCCCAGCUCUCAGCCUAGGAGAGACCCCAAGAGGCCCCUCUGAGGCCUUGGUGAGGCCUGGGCUUCCUUCCCAGGAAGUGGAUGGAGUGGGGGAAGGGAAGGAAGCAGCCCUCUCCCCGGCUUUGCUCCUGUUAAGUCACCGCACCUGUCGAGGUGCAGACUCUACCCCAGAUGCCAUGCUGGGCCCCGUGGCAGCUGUGGGGCUCUCGGCCCAGUGCAGGGGUCUGUGUUCAGCUGUCUGUCUGGGUCCCCAGGUCAAGCCAGCAAGCUUGAGGGGUGGGAGGCUGCAGGAAGGGGAAGGGGAGCCUGAGGUGUUAGGAGGCAGCCCAGGCAGCGGCAGGCAGCUCAGCCCCUGGCCUGGAGUGGGCUCGGUCACGGGAGGGGCUCUGGGGGUGAUAUUCCUUACCCUCAGCUGCUGAAACCAGUAUCUCUCUGGAUCCCAUGACGCCUGGCAGGUGUAUUUGUGCAUUUGUCUGUGUGCAUACGUGUGUGUGGCGUGUGGUGGGGUGAGGGGCUGGCAGGCCUGGGCACCCCUGGCACUUCCCCAUUGGCUCUCAAGGAAACCCCACAAACCCAGCUGGGGAGCUCCUGUGGGUACCGUACUCCAUAGGGCAUGUGGGCUGAGGCUCAGAGAGGGCAAGUCAGUUUGCCCAAAGCCACCCAGCCCCCAAGGGGUGGGGCUGUGAGAAACCUGCCCCUCUUCUGCCUUCCUGCUUUUCCCAACUGCCCACAUGAAGGUGAGGUGAAGGCGGGUCACCUCCUCCAGACUGCACUAGGCAUCUCCUGUGCAGGGACCAGGGAGCCAGCCCAGUGGGGGUCAGCGGAGAUACAGCAGAGUGACAAAAGCUGUGAAAAGCAGCAGUGGGGAACCCGAGAGCGCAAAAGGGUGGCGACAUUGCCUGGUGGGCGCUGCAGCUGCAUUUAUCCAGCGCCUGCCCUCUGUCGGGCCCAGCACAGGGGGGAUCCAAACACGUUCCUGGACUGCAAGGAAUGUGCAGUUUAGCUGGGACCCCGGAAACCACCAUUAGAUCAGAGACAGGCUAGCUGCCGUCCUGGGAUGUCAGUCACUUAGGGCUGUAGGGUGGAGGCCGCCCAGUGGGACUGAAGGUGCUAGAGGGGGCACUGCGAGGGCAAAGCCCUGGUGGCUGGACCCAGGAGCUCCGUCGCCAUCUAUGGGACUCAAAGGAUUGGCUCAGACCUCCCUCGCCUGCCCGCAGAGCCCGCUGCCCCAGCCGCCAGCUGGCAGCCCUCAGGCCUGGAGCUCCUUAGCAGUCUCUCCACGGAGGGAGGAAGUGGAGCCCAAGGGAGAAAACAAAACCCCUCAUCUUGUCCCAGACAAACAGAGGCCAGGCUGGACACUGGCGACGGCCGCAGGGGGCUCGGGGCCCUGCCAGGUGUGGCCGCAAGCAGAGCCAGCCUCGCCCAGGCUGGGCUCGAGGUGGGGGUGCUGAACACAAGGGCUGGGGACAGGGCAGGGAGUGGAGGGCCAGGGUCCCACCAAAAGCUCUAAGCUCUGGCCAGGACCCCCUGGGCGCCCUGCACUCGGACCUGGGGGACAGGCCAGGAAGCGUGACCAGAGGAGGCAGAGGCAAGGGGGAGGUGGCCGGCCCGGAGAGCUGGGUCAGCCCAGGUGCAGGCACCCCCACUGGCCACCCUCUGCCUGGACUCCCAGCUCGUGGGCCUGGACCACAGAGGGUGCUGGGAGGGGGAGCUGGGCAGCCAGUGCACCUUGAUGUCCCUGCCAGGCCGCCGGGCAGGGGAUGGGGGUGGCCUGGGCCCCCGGUCCUCCCCCCGCUGAGAAGCUUCUCCUCGGUUGCUUAGUGGCCGGAAUGUCCAUUGUGCCCGUAGCUUAGCAACAUGCUGCGGUCGCCCCCGCUGACCCUGCCCCGCAGCCGGCCGCUGGCAUUCCUCGGCAGGCCCACCCCUCCGCAGGCCGGGCCUCAUCCGCCUGAGUGUGUCCCAAGGCACAGAGCCGCCAGCAUCCUGUGUGCCCAGCACCCUGGGUGACUGAGGUUCCCAGCUCAGGCGGCCAUGGUUCUGCCAACUGCCACAUGCUGGCUACUUGCCCUGGUGGCACUCUUGGGAACCAUGAAAAGUCUGUGUUCAGAUCUUGUCACAUUCAGUGGUUCAUGCCCCUAUUUAGAUUCACUUUCCCGGCAAAUGUAAUGACAGUGACAGAAAGCAGCCGAGCUGCCUGCGGCCAGGUGGGGGAGAUGGACAGGAGGAGGCAGAGGGUUCACACAGGCACACACAUUGGUACAGGACUCCUGGAGCUGGACAGUGAAAUGGGUGUCAUCCAUUGUGUGUAAAUUAUACUGCAAUAAGAUGGAUUUCUAAGGAAAUAAAAGAAAGGAAAGAAGAAGAGUUGGAGAGAUUCUGGUUCCUCUGGCGUGACCGCUGGGCCCCCUACCCCCAGAGUUCCAGAUCCAGUAGUUCUGGGGCGGGGCCUGGAAUCUGCAUUUCCACUGAACUCACAGCGCACACUGAUGCCGCUGGUCCCGGGACCUCCUUUUGAGAACCUCAGCUCCAUGGACUUCACAAAUACCCGUGGCCAUAGUUUAGGAAUGGUUCUGUCACCCAGGACAUGAGAACCGCCUUGGUUUCUAAAGAUUAAAGAACCAAAACUAGUGUCUGGCA
Molecule: long non-coding RNA, 2706 nt
Organism: Equus caballus (horse)
Lineage: Eukaryota; Metazoa; Chordata; Mammalia; Perissodactyla; Equidae
Source: RefSeq, a predicted model, not a curated record